GUCUGUCUUCCUGAAAUAAGUAUCCCUUCUUUCUAUAUAGUUAAGACCCAAAGCUGAUCUGUGGUUAAGCCACAUCACCAUUUAAUUAUCAGCCGUUAGAUCUAAUCUGAACGGUCGCAGAUGCGUGAAGCCCAAUGCGCUUCUCUUUCCAGGUUUCUCCUACCCCAUCCGCAUCGCUCACAGGCUAUGCCGCACCGGAUGCGGCGCUUCCCCUACCUUCUCCUUCGCCCCUGCGGCCCGCGCUCGCUUCUCCGCCCCCGUGCACGCGCGCGCGCGAGCUGCACCGCGGGCCUGCCAUCGCUUCCCCUCCCUUCUCCUUCACCCCGCGCUCUCUUCUCCACCCCCGUGCGCCGGCCACAGAUGCGGUCGCUUCCCCUCCCCGCAUCGCACUGCCUCCCCCAUCCCCCAUGCACCAGCCACGCUGCGUGGCCUCCGCUUCACGCUUCGCCUUCCCCCUUCCAGCACUGGCCCCUGGCCGCAUCGCCUUCCUUGUCACUGCACCGUCCCGUCUCUCCCGUGAUGCCUCAUAUUCCCUUCUUACGUCCUUUGGUAUCAUCCUUCUCGCUUCUCAUCUUUACUGCACAUUGCCGUCUCUCUUCCCAUCUAUAAGAUCCAAAUCGCCAGUUGCCUACGAACCACUAUUCAACAUCCAUAGCCAGAACCAAGCUUCAGCAUCCAUGGCCCUAUAGCACGCAAGGAGCACUUGCUGAUUUACUCUUUCUUUUUUUUUUCUCUAUUUGAUUCAGGCAAUCAGCUCAUCUGCCUGUUGCUAUUUUGCAUACCUUUUUGCCGCACCUAUUUCGUUUUUAUGUCAGCCUAAUCCCAAUUUAUUUUUUCUGCGGAUUCAUUUUUCCUUUGUUAUCCAAUCCUUCUAACCGGCAGCAAUACAUUAGGUAAUGCACUUCUGUUAAUUUUGAUGUUUUCCUGUUUCCUGAUUAUUCUCUUCUCCUGCUUCUUUUCCUAGGAGCAAUUCUCUGCUUCUUUAACAGGAUAUAACUAUCUCUGCCAAGUUAUAGGUACUUAUGUUGUUGAAUGAAAUGUUGGACAAGAUCUUUCAUGUGAGACUUUCUACGCUAUAGUUUUGCUGCUGGUAUGGAAUUUGAAUGGCCUUGCUCAAAUGGUCUGGUGUUCAAUUUUUUUAGUGGCUAUCGAUUAUAUUCAGUGAUUCAUCGUAUAGCCGUGUACAGGAAUACAAGUAUAUGACUAUUCCUAUUCCAAUGUCCCCAUUUAUUUUUAUAACCUUUUAGAGCAAACUGCCGCUAAUACAUACUUCUAAUCUCUCUUCUGUAAGUGGAUAUUCACUUCUAUUUCAUAUUUACCUGAUACAAAUGUACACAGGUGUGUGUUCAAUAUUGCAAACUAUUGAGUGAUGUAUAAAUCCAUCAUUCAGUUCAUGAAUCAUGAAUCAUGAUGGGUUCAAAGUUAGUCCUGACCUGCUACUCCAGUAAGGCAUUCUGUAUUGAAAAUUUUUAUACUUAUAUCAGAAAUCCAAAGGCCUGACAAUAAUUCCAAGAACCAGAUAAAAAUAUUCUUUUACUUACAAUUUGCCAUAUUUAUCUGUAAACGAACUUCAAGCGGGAUUUGAUACCCAGGAAUUUUGUGCUAUUUGCCUAUUUCAAGGCAUACCAGAUUUGACUCCCAGUCAUAAUUUAUUUUCAAGCACUGCUCACUGAGAUGCCAAGACUUGACAUGUACACAGGUAUGCAAACAAUUCUGUUGUCAAUUCAAGAUAUAUGCAAUCAAGGUUGGUAUGCAGAAUUUAGGGAUGUAGCAUAAUUACACAGAUAUAAUGCACUAAAGUAUUAGGCUUACAAAGAAAUUAUCAUCUUGAGAAAUAAAAUUCACUUUUUUUGCUGACCGACA
Molecule: long non-coding RNA, 1863 nt
Organism: Oryza sativa Japonica Group (Japanese rice)
Lineage: Eukaryota; Viridiplantae; Streptophyta; Magnoliopsida; Poales; Poaceae
Source: RefSeq, a predicted model, not a curated record